RNAcentral lists this ribosomal RNA (253 nucleotides) under uncultured bacterium. Its description in RNAcentral is "partial 16S ribosomal RNA". It matches the Rfam family "Bacterial small subunit ribosomal RNA", at positions 524 to 776 of the family's 1533-position model. The record is from RNAcentral.
UACGUAGGGGGCAAGCGUUAUCCGGAAUUACUGGGUGUAAAGGGAGAGUAGGCGGUAUGAUAAGUAAGAUGUGAAAGCCCGGGGCUUAACCUCGGGAUUGCAUUUUAAACUAUCAAACUAGAGUACAGGAGAGGUAAGUGGAAUUCCUAGUGUAGCGGUGAAAUGCGUAGAUAUUAGGAAGAACACCAGUGGCGAAGGCGACUUACUGGACUGAAACUGACGCUGAGGCUCGAAAGCGUGGGGAGCGAACAGG